Molecule: non-coding RNA, 1051 nt
Organism: Camelina sativa (false flax)
Lineage: Eukaryota; Viridiplantae; Streptophyta; Magnoliopsida; Brassicales; Brassicaceae
Source: RefSeq, a predicted model, not a curated record
UCAUUUUCUUCUUUUCUUUUCCCGACUCUCUCUCCCAUCUCGACGAACCGAUGAAUCUCUUUCUUUCUCUCUCUCUCAAUUGGCGAUGCGAUUAACCAGUUCUUCUACUUUGAUCCCUUCUUUGAAAUUCGGAGAGAAUAAACGAUUAGUGACUAAGGGUUUGGAGAAAAAUCACUCCUUUGUGCUUGUGUGCCGUCUUCAGCAGAUACCCAACGUUGCUGUCUAUUACACCUCCGGCGAACCGUCUUCCGUCGCUGCCAAUUACAUUCCCGGUGAACCAGCCUCUUCUCCUUCUUUACAUUGUGAGAAUCCUUGUUGUGCUUUUCAAUAAAUCCAGGGAUUUAUAGCUGGAGUUGUAGUCGAAACAACUUUAUACCCAAUUGAUACAAUUAAGACAAGACUUCAGGCAGCUCGUGGAGGUGGGAAAAUUGUUUUGAAGGGUCUUUAUUCAGGAUUAUCCAAGAAACAUAACUAUUGAGAGACCAACAAAAGCAACAAAGGAAGCAGACCAAACAGUUUCAGUUACAUCCUCUAAGAAGAAGAAGAAGAAGAAGAGAGAAACUCACAAGCAAAGGAAAUCGGUUCUUAAACUCACAGCCAAACAAAGAAACUGUCUCUCUUCUACACCAACAGAAUACUCCAUAAGCUCCACCGCUUACAGAUCCUCUAAUCACACAUUCUCAUCUAUUGCUUCUGUCAAACCAUAGAACCUGUUACUGUGAUUAGACACCUCUGCAAAUCUGAUUCUCUUGUAUACCUCCUGAUUCUACAAGUGGCUAUUCAAGAACUGUUAUAGGUGUUCAUCUCCUUGAGAAUCUAUCAAACUUGAUUCAUAAUAAGAUGAUUAAUGAUCUAAUUACUGACUCAACAAACAAAACUCACCAGUAGUGAUAGUCCAGUUAUCCAAUUCUCAAGAAACAUCUGAUUCAGAUACAUACUCUAGUCUAACCAAUUCGCAAAAAACUACUUACAAAACACACCAGUAGUGACAGUCCGAUUAACCAAUUCUCAAAAAUCUCACGAGCAAAUACCAAAUCAACAUCACCCACCU